UGGAGGGCAAGUCUGGUGCCAGCAGCCGCGGUAAUUCCAGCUCCAAUAGCGCAUAUUAAAGUUGUUGCAGUUAAAAAGCUCGUAGUUGAAUUUCGGGAUCAAUUUAUUGGUCGUGCUAUUGUACGUACUGGUAUUAUUGAUUUCUACCUUCUGACGAACCAUGAUAUCAUUAAUUUGGUGUCAUGGGGAAUCAGGACUGUUACUUUGAAAAAAUUAGAGUGUUUAAAGCAGGCUCACGCUUGAAUACAUUAGCAUGGAAUAACGAAAUAGGACGUUUGAUUCUAUUUUGUUGGUUUCUAGGAUCGACGUAAUGAUUAAUAGGGAUAGUUGGGGGCAUUAGUAUUCAAUUGUCAGAGGUGAAAUUCUUGGAUUUAUUGAAGACUAACUACUGCGAAAGCAUUUGCCAAGGAUGUUUUCAUUAAUCAAGAACGAAAGUUAGGGGAUCGAAAACGAUCAGAUACCGUCGUAGUCUUAAUCAUAAACUAUGCCGACUAGGGAUCGGAUGAUGUUAAUUUUUUAAUGACUCAUUUGGCACCUUACGGGAAAC
Molecule: ribosomal RNA, 547 nt
Filed under: uncultured Glomus
Lineage: Eukaryota; Fungi; Glomeromycota; Glomeromycetes; Glomerales; Glomeraceae
Description: SSU rRNA
Rfam family: Eukaryotic small subunit ribosomal RNA
Source: RNAcentral